Long non-coding RNA from Labrus mixtus (cuckoo wrasse), 1210 nucleotides. RefSeq lists it as uncharacterized. The transcript is spliced from 2 exons. The record is from RefSeq and is a predicted model, not a curated record. Lineage: Eukaryota; Metazoa; Chordata; Actinopteri; Labriformes; Labridae.
UCUCUCUUUCCACGCGGUGACUUCAAGUGUUCGGAGACACAAGCUCCUGUUUCCUGCAACAAUCUUCCUUUGUUUUAAGUUUUGGUGCGCAGGUAAUCCGCAGCCGGCAGUGUUCUGAGUUCCGAGCUCGGAUUGUCCAGUGAACGCAUCUCAGUUUCUCGGAGAGCGUCAGACUAUAACAGAUUAUCAGAAACAUAACGGUCUUAUUCCGUCCUGCAACGAAAGGACAUCAACGGACAUCUUUCCACUCGACGGAGAACCAACGAAGCCGCUCUUGCCGUAAGGGACCCUCACCGCCAUCAGCCGCCUCUACACCAGGACGGACAGAAGAUCUGUUUUAUCGCCGGACUCCUUUUUCCUUCACCAAUCGCGAGCAAAGCGAUUCACAAGUGAGGCUUAAUUAGGUCUGGGCAGAAUUAGCUUUAGAGAGUGUUUUUAACAAUUGUUUGAUUGAAGCAGAAACUGUAAUUUUUAUCUUUGUUGGACCGCCGCGUCCUGAGUUUUACCUGUUUAAAACUCUUGUUCCCGUUUCGGACCGCUGCGUCCUAUAUGUGUUUAGCUUAACAGCGUUAUAACCGGGUAUUACUCUUCUGAUCAGAAAGGCCAGUGUAAGCCGUAUUAACUUGAAUUCGGCCAUUGGUUUGUUUCUGUGAAUGAAGGGAAUUACUCCGAGUGGUGGCGCGGGAUUCGGACUGUGAUCCGACCUCUUCAGGCACGCAUUUCUCUCCUCCUCUAUUCUCCUCUUUUCUCCCCCUUUUACUAACAGACACACACACAUAUUCCCGUGUAGACGCACAUCUGGAGACUAACUCCACCACCGCGCCAUUACGCACAUAGGCUACACACACACACACACAUAGAUCUAUACACUCGCAGCCAUCCAGACGCCUCAGAGACACAGAUCGUGUAGGGCCGAACUCGGUCUCUUUUAGACAUUAAGGCCACAUUAGGUCUUUGUUAGGUGUGCGCCAUCGUGAGCGACCACGUGGGUACGAAGCCAUCUCCCCCUCUCUUCCCCCCCCUCUCUCUCUCUCACACACACACACACACACACACACACACACAUACAACUACACUUUUACACCUCUUCCACAAGCCUUACUUGAUAAUGUUUGUUGCUUAGAUUAGUUUAUGAUAGUUAUUUGUUUGAUUAGGUUCAUUGAUUUUGGAUUGAUGUUGCUUUGUUUAAAUAAAUUCUGUUAUAAUUUAA